GAAAUGCGAUAAGUAAUGUGAAUUGCAGAAUUCCGUGAAUCAUCGAAUCUUUGAACGCACAUUGCGCCCCCUGGCAUUCUGGGGGGCAUGCCUGUCCGAGCGUCAUUUCUGCCCUCAAGCACGGCUUGUGUGUUGGGUGUGGUCCCCCCGGGGACCUGCCCGAAAGGCAGCGGCGACGUCCGUCUGGUCCUCGAGCGUAUGGGGCUCUGUCACUCGCUCGGGAAGGACCUGCGGGGGUUGGUCACCACCAUAUUUCACCACGGUUGACCUCGGAUCAGGUAGGAGUUACCCGCUGAACUUAAGU
This 304-nucleotide unclassified non-coding RNA is filed under the name plant metagenome. RNAcentral's name for it is "partial contains 5.8S ribosomal RNA, internal transcribed spacer 2, and large subunit ribosomal RNA". The stretch from base 1 to 105 matches the Rfam family "5.8S ribosomal RNA", at positions 50 to 154 of the family's 154-position model. The record is from RNAcentral.